GUAGGGAAUCUUCCACAAUGGACGAAAGUCUGAUGGAGCAACGCCGCGUGAGUGAAGAAGGGUUUCGGCUCGUAAAGCUCUGUUGGUAGUGAAGAAAGAUAGAGGUAGUAACUGGCCUUUAUUUGACGGUAAUUACUUAGAAAGUCACGGCUAACUACGUGCCAGCAGCCGCGGUAAUACGUAGGUGGCAAGCGUUGUCCGGAUUUAUUGGGCGUAAAGCGAGUGCAGGCGGUUCAAUAAGUCUGAUGUGAAAGCCUUCGGCUCAACCGGAGAAUUGCAUCAGAAACUGUUGAACUUGAGUGCAGAAGAGGAGAGUGGAACUCCAUGUGUAGCGGUGGAAUGCGUAGAUAUAUGGAAGAACACCAGUGGCGAAGGCGGCUCUCUGGUCUGCAACUGACGCUGAGGCUCGAAAGCAUGGGUAGCGAACAGG
Molecule: ribosomal RNA, 430 nt
Filed under: bacterium
Lineage: Bacteria
Also listed under: 2 other names
Description: bacterial SSU rRNA
Rfam family: Bacterial small subunit ribosomal RNA
Source: RNAcentral